RNAcentral lists this ribosomal RNA (1372 nucleotides) under uncultured bacterium. Its description in RNAcentral is "bacterial SSU rRNA". It matches the Rfam family "Bacterial small subunit ribosomal RNA", at positions 28 to 1381 of the family's 1533-position model. The record is from RNAcentral.
GAUGAACGCUGGCGGCGUGCCUAAUACAUGCAAGUCGAGCGAACGGACGAGAAGCUUGCUUCUCUGAUGUUAGCGGCGGACGGGUGAGUAACACGUGGAUAACCUACCUAUAAGACUGGGAUAACUUCGGGAAACCGGAGCUAAUACCGGAUAAUAUUUUGAACCGCAUGGUUCAAAAGUGAAAGACGGUCUUGCUGUCACUUAUAGAUGGAUCCGCGCUGCAUUAGCUAGUUGGUAAGGUAACGGCUUACCAAGGCAACGAUGCAUAGCCGACCUGAGAGGGUGAUCGGCCACACUGGAACUGAGACACGGUCCAGACUCCUACGGGAGGCAGCAGUAGGGAACCUUCCGCAAUGGGCGAAAGCCUGACGGAGCAACGCCGCGUGAGUGAUGAAGGUCUUCGGAUCGUAAAACUCUGUUAUUAGGGAAGAACAUAUGUGUAAGUAACUGUGCACAUCUUGACGGUACCUAAUCAGAAAGCCACGGCUAACUACGUGCCAGCAGCCGCGGUAAUACGUAGGUGGCAAGCGUUAUCCGGAAUUAUUGGGCGUAAAGCGCGCGUAGGCGGUUUUUUAAGUCUGAUGUGAAAGCCCACGGCUCAACCGUGGAGGGUCAUUGGAAACUGGAAAACUUGAGUGCAGAAGAGGAAAGUGGAAUCCCAUGUGUAGCGGUGAAAUGCGCAGAGAUAUGGAGGAACACCAGUGGCGAAGGCGACUUUCUGGUCUGUAACUGACGCUGAUGUGCGAAAGCGUGGGGAUCAAACAGGAUUAGAUACCCUGGUAGUCCACGCCGUAAACGAUGAGUGCUAAGUGUUAGGGGGUUUCCGCCCCUUAGUGCUGCAGCUAACGCAUUAAGCACUCCGCCUGGGGAGUACGACCGCAAGGUUGAAACUCAAAGGAAUUGACGGGGACCCGCACAAGCGGUGGAGCAUGUGGUUUAAUUCGAAGCAACGCGAAGAACCUUACCAAAUCUUGACAUCCUUUGACAACUCUAGAGAUAGAGCUUUCCCCUUCGGGGGACAAAGUGACAGGUGGUGCAUGGUUGUCGUCAGCUCGUGUCGUGAGAUGUUGGGUUAAGUCCCGCAACGAGCGCAACCCUUAAGCUUAGUUGCCAUCAUUAAGUUGGGCACUCUAAGUUGACUGCCGGUGACAAACCGGAGGAAGGUGGGGAUGACGUCAAAUCAUCAUGCCCCUUAUGAUUUGGGCUACACACGUGCUACAAUGGACAAUACAAAGGGCAGCGAAACCGCGAGGUCAAGCAAAUCCCAUAAAGUUGUUCUCAGUUCGGAUUGUAGUCUGCAACUCGACUACAUGAAGCUGGAAUCGCUAGUAAUCGUAGAUCAGCAUGCUACGGUGAAUACGUUCCCGGGUCU